UACGUAGGGUCCGAGCGUUGUCCGGAAUUAUUGGGCGUAAAGGGCUCGUAGGCGGUCUGUUGCGUCGGGAGUGAAAACUUACAGCUUAACUGUGAGCGUGCUUUCGAUACGGGCAGACUUGAGGCAUUCAGGGGAGAACGGAAUUCCCAGUGUAGCGGUGAAAUGCGUAGAGAUUGGGAAGAACACCAGCGGCGAAAGCGUGCUACUGGGUCUGCACUGACACUGAGGGACGAAAGCUAGGGGAGCGAAAGGG
Molecule: ribosomal RNA, 253 nt
Filed under: uncultured bacterium
Lineage: Bacteria
Description: partial 16S ribosomal RNA
Rfam family: Bacterial small subunit ribosomal RNA
Source: RNAcentral